This 436-nucleotide ribosomal RNA is filed under the name uncultured bacterium. Its description in RNAcentral is "bacterial SSU rRNA". It matches the Rfam family "Bacterial small subunit ribosomal RNA", at positions 64 to 497 of the family's 1533-position model. The record is from RNAcentral.
GAACGGUAACAGGUCUUCGGACGGUGACGAGUGGCGAACGGGUGAGUAAUACAUCGGAACGUGCCCAGUCGUGGGGGAUAACUACUCGAAAGAGUAGCUAAUACCGCAUACGAUCUGAGGAUGAAAGCGGGGGACCUUCGGGCCUCGCGCGAUUGGAGCGGCCGAUGGCAGAUUAGGUAGUUGGUGGGAUAAAAGCUUACCAAGCCGACGAUCUGUAGCUGGUUUGAGAGGACGACCAGCCACACUGGGACUGAGACACGGCCCAGACUCCUACGGGAGGCAGCAGUGGGGAAUUUUGGACAAUGGGCGAAAGCCUGAUCCAGCAAUGCCGCGUGCAGGAUGAAGGCCUUCGGGUUGUAAACUGCUUUUGUACGGAACGAAAAAGCUUCUCCUAAUACGAGAGGCCCAUGACGGUACCGUAAGAAUAAGCACCGGC